GAUGAACGCUGGCGGCGUGCCUAAUGCAUGCAAGUCGAGCGAACAGACGAGGUGCUUGCUCCUCUUUCAUUAGCAGCGGACGGGUGAGUAACACGUGGGUAACCUACCUAUAAGCGUGGGAUAACUUCUGGAAACCGGAGCUAAUACCGGAUAAUAUAUUUAACCAUAUGUUUCAAUAGUGAAAGACGGUAUUGCUUUACCUUAUAGAUAUAUCGCCUGGUCUUUGCCAGUGGGUAAGGUAAAGGGCUACCAAGGCAAAGAUGCGUAACCGACCUGAGAGGGGGAGCGCCCACACGGGAACUGAGAAACGCCCAAGACUCCUACGGGAGGAAGCAGUAGGGAAUCUUGCGAAAUGGGCGAAAGCCUGACGGAGAAACGCCGCGUGAGUGAUGAAGGUCUUGGGACCGAAAAACUCGGUUAUAAGGGAAGACCAAAUGUGUAAGUAACUAUGCACGUCUUGACGGUACCUAAUCAGAAAGCCACGGCUAACUACGUG
This 496-nucleotide ribosomal RNA is filed under the name uncultured bacterium. Its description in RNAcentral is "partial 16S ribosomal RNA". It matches the Rfam family "Bacterial small subunit ribosomal RNA", at positions 28 to 507 of the family's 1533-position model. The record is from RNAcentral.